GCAGUUAUGCUACGGACCAUUUAAAAUUAAUUACGAUUUUCGAUUCAUUCAAUUAUAUUUCAUUAAAAAUACCCCUCUAGAAAAUUCUUUGGAGACGCCUAUUUAAUCGCUUAGGUGCCUAUUUUCGCAGCGAAGCAAGAGGAAAGCACCGCGCAUGUUUCUAUCGGAUCGAUACGAAUCGAUUUCCGAUAACAUUGAACAGCAGUUGGUCAGGAAACGGCUCGAAGGGCGGAUGGCGCGCCGCUAGUAAGGUUAUUCCCACUUUUAAGUGACGGGAUUGAAACAAAUUUUCGAUGGAAAUCAAAUAAUUAGAAGGAAAUCAAGCGUCAGCUAAUCCCAUCUACAAAACUAGAUAACCAAAGUUAAACAUCUCUUUGGACUUCUUCACAUAACAGAAGUGGAUAUUCCGGCGUGCCUGCCUUGUUUCAAUCCCGUAACUUAGUUAUUUAGUCACACAACGUGACUCUAUCACGUUGAUUAUGUACUACCUAGUUAGAUUGCUAGCCACUCUGUGAUGGUUUAUCCCUAGAGUGGGCUGUUUUUGUUGGAUAAUACACCAUACCGGAUUUUAUUACAACCAGCAUCUUCACCCAGGACCUUGCAGUAGGACUUACUCACCACAGCAGCCAACCGUUUUAUCGUGCCAAAAGGGAAUUUCCUACGGAAUUCAUCUCUAUGGACUUGCAACCCUACUUUUAACCGGCUGUUGUGUAAAAGCUAAGUUUAUUUACUUUUUCUGUAUUUACUUUUGGGUAAGAUAUAUUUGCUACAUUGUAAACUUUUCGUAUGCAUACGAUUAGGAAGAGUACAUAUAUUUUCGUGAUAGAUAGGGUUUUAGGUCGUUUUUUUUUCUUUUUGAUUCAGUAUAAGUAGGAGUUAGUUAAAAUAAAUAAAAUCAGGUCUUGUUUAAUAAUCAUAAAUAAUUGUAUCUUAAAAUUUAAUAGGGAAUCGGGUUGUAAAAUUUUGUCGCGGAUUUUAAAUAGGGAAUACGUCUCGUAGGUUUUUUUUGUAAAAUAUAUAAAGAGUCACUGACCAACUCAUUUAUAUAGACCUUUUUGCUAUUCCAACGGACUUUUGAUUUGGAUUUUGAUUUUAAUACUUUUGCUUGGCCAGUGAUAGUGGAUAAUUGCUUGUUGAGUGGCCUUUGCGGUCCUAUUUUAUCUUUUCCCCAUCCACUAUCACUGUUAUUACGUUGCGUUAUAUGUAAAGUGUUAACAUUUAAUAUUUAUUAUUAAUAUAUUUGUAUGUAUUAAGGUUGGUGUUUUAUUUCAGUCUGUAUUACCAGUAUAUAACAUAGCAAGACAAGCUCAGUAUUUAGUAUUUUGUAUUUCAGGUAGUUGUAACCAGUGUCAUAGAGUUCAUGUUGUUCGUUACUUCAAAAUCUCGAACCUGUCCAACUUCUUGGUUCUGAGAGCCGAGUUGUUCGUUCGAGUUGGCGCCCUUUUUUCUUCUUCUUUCUUUGUUGUAACUCGAUAUUAUUUUAUCUCUAGCAUUCUUAUCUAUUUUCCUUCCAUUUUUGUAUUAAUAGUCUCAUUUUCUUCCUAGUUACUAUCAUUUCAUUACCAAAUUUUCUUCUUAUAUCUCUAAAGCCAAUAUUCGGUGUAUGGAAGCUAGCCCGAAUACUCAUACUUAAGAUUUAGUGUCUCUCUGCCCUUUUGAUUUUUUUUCCUUCUGAGCUAAGCCCCUCUUCUUUUGUCUUAAAUCUCUUAUCAUUUAUUUUACCCAUCUUUAUUCAGUUCUUCUCUUCAAAAAUCUCUAUACCCAGAGUAUAGAGGUUUCAAUUGGCGCCCAACGUGGGGCUUCUUUUACAUUUUUGGCUUUAAAAAUAUUUUCUUUAACUUUUGGUUUUAUCUUGGUGGUUUCAGUGCCUGUGUUUUUAUAUUUUCAUUUUAACGUUUAGUUUAUAUUUCAAUUUUUUUUUUGGACAGUAUCUUGUAUCUAUAUCUUGAAUAAACUUGUUUUGCUAUGGUAUACUGUGUUGACUGAAUGGAUUGCUUUGUUUUGAUUGGUCAAAUAAUUAUUUUGAAUUAAUAAUAAAUAAAUUGAAAAUUUGAAUAUCUUGAAUUUAGCUAUUUUACAAGUCCGGAAUAGCAUUAAAAGUGAAUCACUACCUUGAAUUAAAAGUUUUUUCGAUUUUAGGUUUAUCGGAAGUUGUAGCAGUACAUUUCAACGGAUUUCACGACUGGACCAAACAAAUAAACAUUACUGGUAUAGGUAUCCACUCACAACAUUAACUUGAGGACAGAGAGUAAGUUAAACUUUACCUACUUACAUUUUAUCUCAUUCUCGUGUUUAUUUCCCAGUUGUUUAUAAUGGCAUCGUUUAAGGUAGAACAUAUGUUUAUUUUGUUUACCUGGUUAACAUCUGUUGUUAUGCCUUUUAUCUUAUUUUAUCUUAUUUUAUCUUAUCUUAAUGUUGACUAAUAUCUUAGUUUUGGACUUGUUCAUUUUGCUGUGAGUUGCCUCUUGAAAGUCCAAACUACAUACCAUAGGAGUACAGGAUGGAUAAUGGGAAUUUUCCCCAUCUUGAAUUCUGGGUUAAAUAAGUAUUUACAGGGAUAAUUGGAAAACGCUUUUCAAAAAAAAAUAUAUUUUCCUUGAUUUAUGGUUUUGUAUGGUUGCGUACGGACCAUGCCCAUAAAUUGUUACAGUCGCUUUACUGUGUCAGGAUCUAGCGUGGGUUCAGGACUGAUCACCCCGAACUUGUGCACUUUACUUGGCUCAGAAAUACAUUAAUAUCUAUAAGUUGUUCCCAGAGUGUCUCAGGUUGAAAUUAGAAUGUGUCAUAUAGAAUUCGAUCGUUCUGAUAUUCAGCAGUAAGUAAGUCUGUUUAACUUGGUUGUCAUCUCCUAUGCUGUUAUCUUUUAAAUGAUUUGAGUUUUAACAUAUCUUUACCUGAAGUGAGUUUACCUUUACCUGAGGUGAGUUUAUCUUUACCUUUACCUGAAGUGAGUUUAUCUUUAUCUUUACCUGAAGUGACUUUACCUUUACCUGAAGUGAGUUUACCUUUACCUGAAGUGAGCUUAUCUUUACCUUUACCUGAGGUCAGCUUAUCUUUACCUUUACCUGAAGUGAGUUUAUCUUUACCUGAAGUGACUUUACCUUUACCUGAAGUGAGUUUACCUUUACCUGAAGUGAGCUUAUCUUUACCUUUACCUGAGGUGAGCUUAUCUUUACCUUUACCUGAAGUGAGUUUAUCUUUAUCUUUACCUGAAGUGACUUUACCUUUACCUGAAGUGAGUUUACCUUUACCUGAAGUGAGCUUAUCUUUACCUUUACCUGAGGUGAGUUUAUCUCUACCUUUACCUGAAGUGAGUUUACCUUUACCUGAAGUGAGUUUAUCUUUACCUUGAGUUUAUCUCGUACCUUUACCUUGAUGAGUGCAUCUCUUAUCUAUAUCUGAUUGAAUGUAUAUCUUAUCUUUAUCUUGAUUAUUAUAAAGUCCUAAGAAUCUGUCCUUCUCUGUGCUUGUCGUGAGUAAAGAAUUGGAUCACGUCAAUAGUGCAGUUUAGGUAUUACAGUUAGGACCCUAAUUAUAUCUUACCUUUUGUGCAUACCCUCUACCACGAGUAGAUGUGGGCUUGCAAUUAUCUUUACCUUUUAGCAUACCCUAUACCAGGAGUAUAGUGGGCUUGCUAGUAUCUUUACCUAGAUUGUGUCUUCCUAUCACUGCUCAAGAGAGUAGAUGUUAAGGAUUAUCUUUUACCUUGAUUUUUAGUUGUUGUUGAUAUCCAGAACCAUAUCAUUAUUUAUGUUUAGAUUUGUAGUAAUGUAGUUUCAACUAGUCUUGAUGAAUUAGUCCCUCAUUGAAUUCUCGGGUGAUUAGUAGAAUUUGUUCGCUCUAGUAUCAAUGUGGGUAAAUUUGAUAUGUUGAUUGUUGUGUAUGGUUCUUGGUUAUACUGUGUUAGGUGUUGUUAAUACACACCUGUAAUUUAGAUUUAAUGAUGGGUUACUAACACUUGAGAAUGCAGAUGGUAAGUAGUGUUAAGAGUUGACUUACUCUAUAAGGUUGUAUAAUUAUAUUUAGAAUGUAAGUGAUUAACGUGUAAUUAUUUGUUUUUCUCUAUCUUUAUUUUUACUAAAUUAAAGUAAAUUAUUAUGUUGAAUUAUCUAUGUCGGUCAGUUACACAUCCCUUCUAUGUUCUAUACUUUCUGCAAAUAUGAUUAAAUAUAUCUCGCGUGGCCUCUAUACUAUGUAUGACUUCGUUCCUGAUUUUUGUUCCGUCCUCUCAGCAAAUAGUAUGACUGUUGAGCCUACCAUCAUUAUGUUUUUAUCCCACAACGUUACUCCUUUACCGUGUCCACCCUCAGGUUCGCCCUAGCGUCAGUUAGUUCUGGAAAAUAAAAAAAAGAGGAAACUUGUGGAGUUUUCCUUUUUUUUUGCUGGAGAUAAGGGAGAAUGUAGCAGUUAUGCUACGGACCAUUUAAAAUUAAUUACGAUUUUCGAUUCAUUCAAUUAUAUUUCAUUAAAAAUACCCCUCUAGAAAGUUCUUUGGAGACGCCUAUUUAAUCGCCUAGGUGCCUAUUUUCGCAGCGAAGCAAGAGGAAAGCACCGCGCAUGUUUCUAUCGGAUCGAUACGAAUCGAUUUCCGAUAACAUUGAACAGCAGUUGGUCAGGAAACGGCUCGAAGGGCGGAUGGCGCGCCGCUAGUAAGGUUAUUCCCACUUUUAAGUGACGGGAUUGAAACAAAUUUUCGAUGGAAAUCAAAUAAUUAGAAGGAAAUCAAGCGUCAGCUAAUCCCAUCUACAAAACUAGAUAACCAAAGUUAAACAUCUCUUUGGACUUCUUCACAUAACAGAAGUGGAUAUUCCGGCGUGCCUGCCUUGUUUCAAUCCCGUAACUUAGUUAUUUAGUCACACAACGUGACUCUAUCACGUUGAUUAUGUACUACCUAGUUAGAUUGCUAGCCACUCUGUGAUGGUUUAUCCCUAGAGUGGGCUGUUUUUGUUGGAUAAUACACCAUACCGGAUUUUAUUACAACCAGCAUCUUCACCCAGGACCUUGCAGUAGGACUUACUCACCACAGCAGCCAACCGUUUUAUCGUGCCAAAAGGGAAUUUCCUACGGAAUUCAUCUCUAUGGACUUGCAACCCUACUUUUAACCGGCUGUUGUGUAAAAGCUAAGUUUAUUUACUUUUUCUGUAUUUACUUUUGGGUAAGAUAUAUUUGCUACAUUGUAAACUUUUCGUAUGCAUACGAUUAGGAAGAGUACAUAUAUUUUCGUGAUAGAUAGGGUUUUAGGUCGUUUUUUUUUUCUUUUUGAUUCAGUAUAAGUAGGAGUUAGUUAAAAUAAAUAAAAUCAGGUCUUGUUUAAUAAUCAUAAAUAAUUGUAUCUUAAAAUUUAAUAGGGAAUCGGGUUGUAAAAUUUUGUCGCGGAUUUUAAAUAGGGAAUACGUCUCGUAGGUUUUUUUUGUAAAAUAUAUAAAGAGUCACUGACCAACUCAUUUAUAUAGACCUUUUUGCUAUUCCAACGGACUUUUGAUUUGGAUUUUGAUUUUAAUACUUUUGCUUGGCCAGUGAUAGUGGAUAAUUGCUUGUUGAGUGGCCUUUGCGGUCCUAUUUUAUCUUUUCCCCAUCCACUAUCACUGUUAUUACGUUGCGUUAUAUGUAAAGUGUUAACAUUUAAUAUUUAUUAUUAAUAUAUUUGUAUGUAUUAA
This 5657-nucleotide long non-coding RNA is filed under the name Diabrotica virgifera virgifera (western corn rootworm). RNAcentral's name for it is "uncharacterized LOC126886764". The record is from RNAcentral. Lineage: Eukaryota; Metazoa; Arthropoda; Insecta; Coleoptera; Chrysomelidae.